RNAcentral lists this transfer RNA (76 nucleotides) under Treponema sp. RNAcentral's name for it is "tRNA-Thr". It matches the Rfam family "tRNA". Rfam says of the family: Transfer RNA (tRNA) molecules are approximately 80 nucleotides in length. The record is from RNAcentral. RNAcentral also lists the same sequence under 1 other name. Lineage: Bacteria; Pseudomonadati; Spirochaetota; Spirochaetia; Treponematales; Treponemataceae.
GCCAACUUAGCUCACCUGGUAGAGCAGCGCCCUCGUAACGCGCAGGUACUCGGUUCAAGUCCGGGAGUUGGCUCUA